Long non-coding RNA from Homo sapiens (human), 891 nucleotides. The record is from Ensembl. Lineage: Eukaryota; Metazoa; Chordata; Mammalia; Primates; Hominidae.
AAUAAAUAAAAAUAAAAAAUAAACAUGAUGAUCACAGAUGCAGUCACAUUUUCUGAGUUCUUGUCUCUCUGCCAGUGCCACCCAGAUAGCCUCACAAAACUUUGACCCAGCCACUGUUAGUGUCGCCACCGCCCAUAAAGGAGCUGAGCCCAGCAGGGGCACUGCCUGGGGCCCUGUAGCCAAAAGGCUACAGCAGGAGCUGAUGACCCUCAUGAUGCCUGGUGACAAAAGAAUUUCUGCCUACCCUGAAAGCCUUAUCAAAUGGACACCAUCCAUGAAGCAGCUGGCACAGUGUAUGAAGAUCUGAGGUAUAAGCUCUUGCUGGAGUUCCUCAAUGACUACCCACCUUUACGAUGCACCCACAGUGAAGUUCCUCACACCCUGCUACCACCCUAACGUGGACACCCAGGGUAACAUAUGCCUGGACAUCCUGAAGGAGAAGUGGUCUGCCCCGUAUGAUAUCAGGACCAUCCUGCUCUCUAUCCAGUGCCUGCUAGGACAACUCAACAUUGAUAGCCCUUUGAACACACAUGCUACCAAGCUCUGGGAAAACCCCAUAGCUUUAAGAAGUACCUGCAAGGGUCAGGCGCAGUGGCUCACACCUGUAAUCCCAGCACUUUGGGAGGCCGAGGUGGGUGGAUGGAUCACCUGACGUAGAGAGUCCAAGGCCUGACAAACAUGGAGAAAUGUCAUCCCUAUUUAAAAAAAUAAAAAAAUUAGCCAAGUGUGGUGGCGCAUGCCUGUAAUCCCAGCUACUCGGGAGGCUGAGGCAGGAGAAUCACUUGAACCUGGGAGGUGGAGGUUGCAGUGAGCCGAGAUCUCGCUAUUGCACUCCAGCCUGGGCAACAAGAGUGAAACUCUGCCUCAAAAAAAAAUAAAAUAAAAUAAAAA